Molecule: ribosomal RNA, 433 nt
Filed under: uncultured bacterium
Lineage: Bacteria
Description: partial 16S ribosomal RNA
Rfam family: Bacterial small subunit ribosomal RNA
Source: RNAcentral
AACGAACGCUGGCGGCAUGCCUAACACAUGCAAGUCGAACGAGACCUUCGGGUCUAGUGGCGCACGGGUGCGUAACGCGAGGGAACCUGCCCUUAGGUUCGGAAUAACUCCCCGAAAGGGGUGCUAAUACCGGAUAAUUUCUUCGGACCAAAGAUUUAUCGCCUUUGGAUGGGCCCGCGUUGGAUUAGCUAGUUGGUCGGGUAAAAGCCUACCAAGGCGACGAUCCAUAGCUGGUCUGAGAGGAUGAUCAGCCACCCUGGGACUGGGACACGGCCCAGACUCCUACGGGAGGCAGCAGUGGGGAAUAUUGGACAAUGGGCGAAAGCCUGAUCCAGCAAUGCCGCGUGAGUGAUGAAGGCCUUAGGGUUGUAAAGCUCUUUUACCCGGGAUGAUAAUGACAGUACCGGGAGAAUAAGCGCCGGCUAACUCCGUG